Long non-coding RNA from Manis pentadactyla (Chinese pangolin), 2520 nucleotides. RefSeq lists it as uncharacterized. The record is from RefSeq and is a predicted model, not a curated record. Lineage: Eukaryota; Metazoa; Chordata; Mammalia; Pholidota; Manidae. The transcript is spliced from 3 exons.
UCCUUCAAGUUUCUUGGGCUAUUUGGAGUCAUCCUUCUAGGAAGUAAUCGAUGAGGCCCAGCAUUUGUACUAACUCUCAGCACAAAAACACCCAGACUGCAGGUGAAGAAAAUGUUCAGAGAGGUCAAGUCGCUUGCCUGAGGUAACUCACAGAGCCGCGUGUUUCACACUGAAGCCCCCUCUGACCCCAGCUGGAGUUCUUCUGGCUGUGCUGUACACAACAGAGAAAUCAGUGACACUGCAGACCUACUGGGUGUGAGACAGAAAUGAUAGGCUCACCCCUGCUCACAUCCUGGUGGUCACAUCCCAACUGGGGUUUUCAUCUCGCUUGGUCCCCAGGCCAACCUGGGGUGCAGGUAGUGUGAUCCCCAGUGUAACAGAUGGCAGCUCAAAGGGGUCUGGGGACCCACUUCUGAGUGGGAUUUGGGCCCGGUGUGGGGUGAUCCCAGGGAGGGCUUCAGAGGCAAAGAGGGCCCAGGUUAUUGUUCAGUUCCAGAGGGUACUGGGUGUAGGGGCUCAGGAAUGCUUUCAGCUGCAUGUAACUGAAGCCCAGCAGCUUAACCAGGCAUUACGUCUGGAGGCAGUUAUGGUAUGGUUCAGCAGCUUUGUCCUAAUUCCUGUUAACUUUCAUCCUGAUGUCUGUCACCUGAUGUUUGCAGGAUGGUUGCUUCUGUUCUGGGUGCCAUACCCAUCUUCAAGCAGGAAGCAAGGGAGGAGGAGCAGCACCUGCUGUUGCUUCCCUUUAUCAGGAAAAGAGCCUCCCCACAAGUCCACCUAGCAGACUUCCCUUACAACCCAGUGGUCCAGAUGGAGUCACACUGUCCCUUCCAGCUGCGAGGAAGACUUUCAGGCCCUGGACUAGGCCAGACACAGGAGGGAAAUUCAGAGGUGGUAGGCUUACUCCUGCUCACACAAGACUCACCACUUAGGGGGGUUUGUAAAAGCUGAAGGUCCUCAGGCCUCCUGCCCCAGGAGGAGACUAGGCUUCAUCUUGUAGAAUCCAGAAGGCCCGUGGGAGAGGAUGUCUAACCUGGGCUCUAAAGGUGAAAGAGUGUUAAAUCUGUGAAUAUUAAAGGCCACUAAUUGUUCAGUUUGUGAUUACAUUCUUCCUCUAAGACGGCUGGUCCUGAAUAUCCUCCUGUUGUUAGCUUAGGACUCUCUGUUACCUGCACAGGGCAGCUUGACACUUAACUCCUGCCUCCUCUCUGCCAGCUCUGGGGGAGGCCCGUGUGUGCUGCCCAGUGUUGGAGGUCACCUCUUGAGUCAUCAGGGCCCUGGGAGGAGUCCUUGUGGCAGUUGGCAGCAGUGAUGGGAAACACAGUGCUCGUUAGGGUCAGCCCAGUGGGCUUGGUGUCAGGAGAGCCAACUGAUUUCCAUUGUUUCUUGGCUGCUUGGGUCUGGGCGUCUGAAUUUGUCAGUCCUCCCCUCUAGGCCUUGCUUGUGUUACAUGACUUGGGGGCAUCAUUCUGCUUCCCUUCUAGCUGUCUGAGGAGGUGGCUUGAGGCGUCAUUGCUUAGCAGAGAUUAGCGUCACAUAUUCUAUUUAUAGAGCAACUCACGGCCUCUCUCUGUCGAAUUGCAUCUGUAAUUUCAGAGGUGGGUGGCAGGUGCCAGCAUACCCAUUUCAGAGGUGGGGAAACUCAGGAGGACUCAGGGUAAGUGAUGCCCACGGCUGCACAGAGGGUAAAUAGCCUAGCUGGGACUAGGACCAAGAGUCUUUCUUGGCAUCGUGGAGCUGGUGUUCUGUGUCACAGACAUCAGGAUUGAGCUGUGGUGCAGGGCCACCUAGAGCUGGUGUGAGAGCUGCCUCUGCCCUCUCAGUGCUAAUAAUUAAUUGCAGGUUUUGUGUGUGGUUCUGUUUGGGAAUCGCUCAUACAUAUAUCACAGCCCGAGGGUGGGAGGAAGCUGUGCAUCUGAUGUCCUAAUUAUUUACGGGCAUUUCACAUGCAGUUAAUCUUUCUUGCCAUCACUUAACUCCAGCACUGUGCUGGGCAUGAGGCCAUUGUAGCAGAUGCUGGUGCUGCGGCUGUCAGCCUUGGCAGCCCUGGGCUUUGGACAGGUCAGGGUCAUGUGUCUGCUGGGUGCAUUGGUUAAUGCCAAAUAGUAGCAGCCAGCCGACAGGAGCAGGCAAUGGACAUGCCUAGUGUUCCCCUGCUUGUGGAGCCAGGAACUGGAAUGGUUCAUCUGCUAUUCCUGAUGAAUUGCAGCAUCCCAGAGCUAGGAUUCUAGAGCAUCAGCUGUCUAACCUCCUCAUCUCAUAGACCCAAACUGGAUGUGAAAUGCCUAAAGCCCCUUGCCAGUUAGUGGCUGACCUGGCAUCCUCAUCUGUGACCACAUCACACAACUUUGCUUUUAUCGUUUCCUCGUUCUGCAACUCCCAGCCUGCUGGUCACAUUGUCUCCAGUGCCAACUCAAUGUAGGUUCCAAGUUGUAGCAUAUGAAGUGACUCAUUUGUUCUCAGGUGACAGAAGCCAGCUGGAGCCAGCUCAACUAAAGUAGGGAAUGUCACUGCUCUCACAGC